AGCUCCAAUAGCGUAUAUUAAAGUUGUUGCAGUUAAAAAGCUCGUAGUUGGAUUUGUGGUUGUUGCCGUGGCGUCCAUUAAUUUGGUUCUGCCGUGGCGCAGCCAUCCUUGGGUGGAUCCUGUGUGGCAUUAGGUUGUCGUGCAGGGGAUGCCCAUCGUUUACUGUGAAAAAAUUAGAGUGUUCAAAGCAGGCUUAUGCCGUUGAAUAUAUUAGCAUGGAAUAAUAAGAUAGGUCUUUGGUCCUAUUUUGUUGGUUUGCGGGCCUUAGAAAUGAUUAACAGGGACAGUUGGGGGUAUUCGUAUUCCAUUGUCAGAGGUGAAAUUCUUGGAUUUCUGGAAGACGAACUACUGCGAAAGCAUUUACCAAGGAUGUUUUCA
This 378-nucleotide ribosomal RNA is filed under the name uncultured eukaryote. RNAcentral's name for it is "SSU rRNA". It matches the Rfam family "Eukaryotic small subunit ribosomal RNA", at positions 587 to 972 of the family's 1831-position model. The record is from RNAcentral.